UAGACAGUAAUUCUUGGGGUCUGAUAGGU
This 29-nucleotide non-coding RNA is filed under the name Rattus norvegicus (Norway rat). The record is from RNAcentral. Lineage: Eukaryota; Metazoa; Chordata; Mammalia; Rodentia; Muridae.